GCAUGCCGAACUAUAAUUUAUGAAACAGAGCUCGUUUAAUCAGCCAAUCGGUUGGCUUCUCCCUAACAAGUCUAACUGGCUCUGAAGGGCAGAAAGCACUGCAACAGAACAAUAAAAAAGAGACGAUAUCCCACACGCUAAGCUGCUUAGCGUGGAAUUGCUUUCUGUGACAGGAGUCUGGUGGGGGAGGGAAGCAGUCUCUCCCAUUCUCCCUCUCUUUUUAAAACAGAGUAACAGGUGAUCUGCUUCCAUGUA
Molecule: non-coding RNA, 255 nt
Organism: Podarcis lilfordi (Lilford's wall lizard)
Lineage: Eukaryota; Metazoa; Chordata; Lepidosauria; Squamata; Lacertidae
Source: the annotation of a GenBank genome assembly